RNAcentral lists this ribosomal RNA (505 nucleotides) under uncultured bacterium. Its description in RNAcentral is "bacterial SSU rRNA". It matches the Rfam family "Bacterial small subunit ribosomal RNA", at positions 28 to 507 of the family's 1533-position model. The record is from RNAcentral.
GACGAACGCUGGCGGCGUGCCUAAUACAUGCAAGUUGAACGCUUGAUUUUCACCGAAGCUUGCUUCACCGAAAAUCAAGAGUAGCGAACGGGUGAGUAACGCGUGGGUAACCUACCUAUCAGCGGGGGAUAACUAUUGGAAACGAUAGCUAAUACCGCAUAACAAUGUUGGAUGCAUAUUCGACAUUUGAAAGUACCAAAUGGUACACUGAGAGAUGGACCCGCGUUGUAUUAGCUAGUUGGUAGUGUAAUGGACUACCAAGGCGAUGAUACAUAGCCGACCUGAGAGGGUGAUCGGCCGCAUUGGGACUGAGACACGGCCCAAACUCCUACGGGAGGCAGCAGUAGGGAAUCUUCGGCAAUGGACGAAAGUCUGACCGAGCAACGCCGCGUGAGUGAAGAAGGUUUUCGGAUCGUAAAACUCUGUUGUUAGAGAAGAACGUUGCAUAGAGUGGAAAAUUAUGCAAGUGACGGUAUCUAACCAGAAAGGGACGGCUAACUACGUG